UACGGAGGGUGCAAGCGUUAUCCGGAUUUACUGGGUUAAAGGGUGUGUAGGCGGACUUUUAAGUCAGCGGUGAAAUCUCCGGGCUCAACCCGGAACUGCCAUUGAUACUAUUAGUCUUGAAUAUUGUUGAGGUAGGCGGAACGGUCGAUGUAGCGGUGGAAAUGACAUAGAUAUGACCCGGAACACCGAUGCGAAGGCAGCCUACUAAGCAAUUAUGACGCUGAGGCACGAAAGCGUGGG
This 240-nucleotide ribosomal RNA is filed under the name uncultured bacterium. Its description in RNAcentral is "partial 16S ribosomal RNA". It matches the Rfam family "Bacterial small subunit ribosomal RNA", at positions 524 to 765 of the family's 1533-position model. The record is from RNAcentral.